This 484-nucleotide ribosomal RNA is filed under the name uncultured bacterium. RNAcentral describes it as "partial 16S ribosomal RNA". It matches the Rfam family "Bacterial small subunit ribosomal RNA", at positions 28 to 507 of the family's 1533-position model. The record is from RNAcentral.
AUUGAACGCUGGCGGCAUGCCUUACACAUGCAAGUCGAACGGCAGCGCGCCUUCAGCUCUGGUCGCGUGGGGCGAGGGGGUGUAUUAUACAGGGGAACGUCCGCGCUCGGGGGGGAAAGCGGCGCAAGCGUUGCUAUUAUACCGCACACUCUCUGAGGGUGAAAGCGGGGCAGCAUCGGCCCUCGCGCGAUCGGAGCGCCCGAUGUCAGAUUAGGUAGUUGGUGGGGUAAGGGCCUACCAAGCCGACGAUCUGUAGCUGGUCUGAGAGGACGAUCAGCCACACUGGGACUGAGACACGGCCCAGACUCCUACGGGAGGCAGCAGUGGGGAAUUUUGGACAAUGGGCGCAAGCCUGAUCCAGCCAUGCCGCGUGCAGGACGAAGGCCUUCGGGUUGUAAACUGCUUUUGUACGGAACGAAAAGCCUCUGGCUAAUACAGGGGGGUCAUGACGGUACCGUAAGAAUAAGCACCGGCUAACUACGUG